RNAcentral lists this ribosomal RNA (247 nucleotides) under uncultured bacterium. RNAcentral's name for it is "partial 16S ribosomal RNA". It matches the Rfam family "Bacterial small subunit ribosomal RNA", at positions 109 to 354 of the family's 1533-position model. The record is from RNAcentral.
AGUAACACGUGGGCAACCUGCCUCAGAGAGGGGAAUAGCCUUCCGAAAGGGAGAUUAAUACCGCAUAAGAUUGUAGCUUCGCAUGAAGUAGCAAUUAAAGGAGUAAUCCGCUAUGAGAUGGGCCCGCGGCGCAUUAGCUAGUUGGUGAGGUAACGGCUCACCAAGGCGACGAUGCGUAGCCGACCUGAGAGGGUGAUCGGCCACAUUGGGACUGAGACACGGCCCAGACUCCUACGGAAGGCAGCAG